UUGAUCCUGGCUCAGGAUGAACGCUAGCGGCAGGCUUAACACAUGCAAGUCGAGGGGCAGCGCGGGGCGGCAACGUCCUGGCGGCGACCGGCGGAAGGGUGCGUAACGCGUGAGCGACAUGCCCGUUGCCCGGGGACAACCGGUGGAAACGCCGACUAAUCCCCGAUGGGACGGAGGCCCUCAUGGGUCUCUGUUGAAAGUUACGGCGGCGACGGAUUGGCUCGCGUCCGAUUAGCUUGUUGGCGGGGUAACGGCCCACCAAGGCUACGAUCGGUAGGGGUUCUGAGAGGAAGGUCCCCCACAAUGGAACUGAGACACGGUCCAUACUCCUACGGGAGGCAGCAGUGAGGAAUAUUGGUCAAUGGGCGGAAGCCUGAACCAGCCAUGCCGCGUGCGGGAAGGAGGCCCUAUGGGCUGUGAACCGCUUUUGCCUGGGGGCAAUAAGGGCGUCGUGCACGUCCGAUGAGAGUACCAGGCGAAUAAGCAUCGGCUAACUCCGUGCCAGCAGCCGCGGUAAUACGGGGGAUGCGAGCGUUAUCCGGAUUCAUUGGGUUUAAAGGGUGCGUAGGCUGUGCGUCAAGUCAGGGGUGAAAUUCCGGGGCUCAACUCCGGGGCUGCCCUUGAUACUGUCGCGCUGGAGUGCGGAUGCCGCCGGAGGAAUGAGUGGUGUAGCGGUGAAAUGCUUAGAUAUCACUCAGAACACCGAUUGCGAAGGCAUCUGGCGAAUCCGUAACUGACGCUGAGGCACGAAAGCGUGGGGAUAGAACAGGAUUAGAUACCCUGGUAUUCCACGCCGUAAACGAUGAUGGCUAACCGCCGGCGACACACUGUCGGUGGCCAAGCGAAAGCGAUAAGCCAUCCACCUGGGGAGUACGUCGGCAACG
RNAcentral lists this ribosomal RNA (884 nucleotides) under uncultured Bacillota bacterium. Its description in RNAcentral is "bacterial SSU rRNA". It matches the Rfam family "Bacterial small subunit ribosomal RNA", at positions 13 to 893 of the family's 1533-position model. Lineage: Bacteria; Bacillati; Bacillota. The record is from RNAcentral.